Molecule: ribosomal RNA, 520 nt
Filed under: uncultured Glomus
Lineage: Eukaryota; Fungi; Glomeromycota; Glomeromycetes; Glomerales; Glomeraceae
Description: SSU rRNA
Rfam family: Eukaryotic small subunit ribosomal RNA
Source: RNAcentral
AGCAGCCGCGGUAAUUCCAGCUCCAAUAGCGUAUAUUAAAGUUGUUGCAGUUAAAAAGCUCGUAGUUGAAUUUCGGGGUUAGUAGGUUGGUCAUGCCUCUGGUAUGUACUGGUCUCACUGAUUUCUCCUUCCUGAUGAGCCGUAAUGCCAUUAAUUUGGUGUUGCGGGGAAUUUGGACUGUUACUUUGAAAAAUUAGAGUGUUUAAAGCAAGCUAACGCUUGAAUACAUUGGCAUGGAAUAAUGAAAUAGGACGUUCGAUCCUAUUUUGUUGGUUUCUAGGAUUGACGUAAUGAUUAAUAGGGAUAGUUGGGGGCAUUAGUAUUCAAUUGUCAGAGGUGAAAUUCUUGGAUUUAUUGAAGACUAACUACUGCGAAAGCAUUUGCCAAGGAUGUUUUCAUUAAUCAAGAACGAAAGUUAGGGGAUCGAAGACGAUCAGAUACCGUCGUAGUCUUAACCAUAAACUAUGCCGACUAGGGAUCGGAUGAUGUUAAUUUUUUAAUGUACUCAUUCGGCGCCUUA